UUGUUGGUGAUUAGGUGUGGGGUUGCGAACGGGGUUUUCAGGUUAAUUUCUGAGGCCCUCUGUAUUGUUGUUGUUUACGUGGCCUAAUAACUGCCUCUUCCAAUGGUAUAGGGUGGGUUGGGCUAGGAUUUGAGGGAUGGCCUGAAGCCCUCACAUUUCAGGAUGCCUGCUUAUGAAGAUAGAGUUGUAAUUGGAUAUUAAUGGGAAGUUUGUUUGCAGAUGUUCUUUCAAUUUUUAUGGCGGCCAUGAAGGUUUCUAAGCCAGCUCUGUUCGGGUGUGGAAGGGACAAGCGAUUACGUAUAAAUUGUGAUGCGACGUUGGCAAAUAAAACACUGGUUGAUGGGUGGUUUUCGUUUCACCAUUGAUCUUAAAGCUCUGCCAUGACUGUGAUGUGUCGAUGGGAGAAGUGUCGUUGUUGCUGAUAUUAGUUGGACGCAUGGGUUUGGUGGGGUUGCAGUACUGUUGGGUGCUGUUAGCUGUUUUCUCGAAGGAACACAAUGUGUGCAGAUGUUAAAGAACUUCUGAUAUUCCUUCACAACAACUGAUACCCAUGCUGAACCUCACUGAUGGAAAUGGGGUAAAAUUUCUUUGCGACUGAAGAGAAUGAGAAAACAUUCCAUCUUUUGUCUGUAUAUAACUGGACAAGCUCAUUAUGAACUUCAAUUUUUAAACAAUAAAAUUCAGGUUAUUGUUAAUCAAAGGAUGUUUAUGUUCUCUACAUCCCAGGGAAAGUGAAGGCUUAUUUCAGUAUGGUAACUACCACAGAGAAGCUUAGGAUUUACGUGUUGUGGUUCAACAUUUUCAUGGGGAGAAACGUGAGAUAAAUACAGCUAUUGGACAUAGUAAAGGUCCAUUUUUCUUCCUUGCUCCGUGUCUACAAAAUGAAAGAACAAAAAAUAAAUAAAUGAAAUUAGAUAGCAUUUUGGAAAUAUGUGUGAAUUUUGAGUAGAGCACUUAAUUUGUAGCGAGCUAUAGAUGUUAUUUUACAUGUAAGUUUCUGUAUAUUAGAAUUUUUAUUUU
This is a long non-coding RNA of Populus trichocarpa (black cottonwood), 1020 nucleotides long. RefSeq lists it as uncharacterized. Lineage: Eukaryota; Viridiplantae; Streptophyta; Magnoliopsida; Malpighiales; Salicaceae. The record is from RefSeq and is a predicted model, not a curated record. The transcript is spliced from 3 exons.